This 1087-nucleotide ribosomal RNA is filed under the name Burkholderiales bacterium. RNAcentral's name for it is "partial 23S ribosomal RNA". It matches the Rfam family "Bacterial large subunit ribosomal RNA", at positions 1 to 1141 of the family's 2925-position model. The record is from RNAcentral. Lineage: Bacteria; Pseudomonadati; Pseudomonadota; Betaproteobacteria; Burkholderiales.
GGUCAAGUGACUAAGAGCAUGUGGUGGAUGCCUUGGCGAUGAUAGGCGACGAAGGACGUGAUAGCCUGCGAUAAGCUUCGGGGAGCUGGCAAAUUAGCUUUGAUCCGGAGAUUUCCGAAUGGGGAAACCCACCGAAAGGUAUCCUGCGGUGAAUACAUAGCCGCAGGAGGCGAACCGGGUGAACUGAAACAUCUCAGUAGCUCGAGGAAAAGACAUCAACCGAGAUUCCGAAAGUAGUGGCGAGCGAAAUCGGAGGAGCCUUCUAGUGAUAGCACGACUGUUAGCAAAACGGGUUGGAAAACCCGGCCAUAGCAGGUGAUAGCCCUGUAUGCGAAAACCGACGUGUGGUACUAGGCUAGAGAAAAGUAGGGCGGGACACGUGUAAUCCUGUCUGAACAUGGGGGGACCAUCCUCCAAGGCUAAAUACUCAUCAUCGACCGAUAGUGAACUAGUACCGUGAGGGAAAGGCGAAAAGAACCCCGGGAGGGGAGUGAAAUAGAUCCUGAAACCGCAUGCUUACAAAAAGUCGGAGCCCUUCGGGGUGACGGCGUACCUUUUGUAUAAUGGGUCAGCGACUUACAUUCAGUGGCAAGGUUAACCGAAUAGGGAAGCCGAAGAGAAAUCGAGUCCGAAUAGGGCGAUUAGUCGCUGGGUGUAGACCCGAAACCAGGUGAUCUAUCCAUGGCCAGGAUGAAGGUGCCGUAACAGGUACUGGAGGUCCGAACCGACUAGUGUUGCAAAACUAGCGGAUGAGCUGUGGAUAGGGGUGAAAGGCUAAACAAACCUGGAAAUAGCUGGUUCUCUCCGAAAACUAUCUAGGUAGUGCCUCAAGUAUUACCUUCGGGGGUAGAGCACUGUUUUGGCUAGGGGGUCAUGGCGACUUACCAAACCAAGGCAAACUCCGAAUACCGAAGAGUACAGCUUGGGAGACAGUGCACCGGGUGCUAACGUCCGGACACGAGAGGGAAACAACCCAGACCGCCAGCUAAGGUCCCUAAAAUUGGCUAAGUGGGAAACGAAGUGGGAAGGCUAAAACAGUCAGGAUGUUGGCUUAGAAGCAGCCAUCAUUUAAAGAAAGCGUAAUAGC